RNAcentral lists this ribosomal RNA (274 nucleotides) under uncultured bacterium. RNAcentral's name for it is "partial 16S ribosomal RNA". It matches the Rfam family "Bacterial small subunit ribosomal RNA", at positions 523 to 796 of the family's 1533-position model. The record is from RNAcentral.
AUACGGAGGGUGCAAGCGUUAAUCGGAAUUACUGGGCGUAAAGCGCGCGUAGGCGGUUUGGUCAGUCAGAUGUGAAAGCCCUGGGCUCAACCUGGGAACUGCAUUUGAUACUGCCAGGCUAGAGUAUGGUAGAGGGAAGUGGAAUUCCGGGUGUAGCGGUGAAAUGCGUAGAUAUCCGGAGGAACACCAGUGGCGAUGGCGACUUCCUGGACCAAUACUGACGCUGAGGUGCGAAAGCGUGGGUAGCAAACAGGAUUAGAUACCCUAGUAGUCC